RNAcentral lists this transfer RNA (73 nucleotides) under Biomphalaria glabrata. It matches the Rfam family "tRNA". Rfam says of the family: Transfer RNA (tRNA) molecules are approximately 80 nucleotides in length. Their secondary structure includes four short double-helical elements and three loops (D, anti-codon, and T loops). Lineage: Eukaryota; Metazoa; Mollusca; Gastropoda; Planorbidae. The record is from Rfam by way of RNAcentral.
GUCAUGGUGGCUGAGUGGUAAAGCGCUUGGCUACCAAACCAGAAAAUCCUGGGUUCAAAUCUCGGUAAAGACU